RNAcentral lists this transfer RNA (30 nucleotides) under Trichopodus pectoralis (snakeskin gourami). RNAcentral describes it as "partial tRNA-Thr". Lineage: Eukaryota; Metazoa; Chordata; Actinopteri; Anabantiformes; Osphronemidae. The record is from RNAcentral.
GCCCUAGUAGCUCAGUGUCUAGAGCGCCGG